UACAGGGGGUGCAAACGUUGCUCGGAAUUAUUGGGCGUAAAGCGCGCGUAGGCGGCUACCUAAGUCGGAUGUGAAAGCCCCUGGCUUAACUGGGGAAGUGCACCCGAAACUGGGUAGCUAGAGUGCAAAAGAGGGUCGCGGAAUUCCCGGUGUAGAGGUGAAAUUCGUAGAUAUCGGGAGGAACACCGGUGGCGAAGGCGGCGACCUGGGUUGACACUGACGCUGAGACGCGAAAGCGUGGGGAGCAAACAGG
Molecule: ribosomal RNA, 253 nt
Filed under: uncultured bacterium
Lineage: Bacteria
Description: partial 16S ribosomal RNA
Rfam family: Bacterial small subunit ribosomal RNA
Source: RNAcentral